UCUGAAUGUGGAUUUUUAUUUUAUUAUAUAAUAAAUAUUUAAAUAAAAAAAWAAAAAAAAAAAUAAACUUAUAAGCUAUAUAAAAUUUAAAAUUUUCAGUGGCAUACUGGUGAGUAAUACAUAAGAAAACUAUCCUUUUAUUUUUUUUUUAAGCUUAAAAAAAAGCUAUUUUUUAAGGUGGUCUUAUGCCUAAUUAGCUAGUUGGUAAAAUAAUAGUUUACCAAGGCAAUAAUAAGUAGUUGGUCCUAUUAGGAUGAUCAACCACAUGGAAUUAAUAUAUAUCCAACUCUUUUUAGAGUAGCAGUGAGGAAUUUUUCGCAAUGGGCGGCAAAAGCUUGACGAACACAAUGCUACGUGUGGGUAGAGGCCUUUGGCCAUGAACUUCUUUUUUUGAAAAAGAAAAAUAUAAAUGACAAUAUUCAAAGAAUAAACAUCGGCUAACUCUGUGCCAGCAGCCGCGGUAAUACAGAGGAUGUAAGCGUUAUUCAGAAUCAUUGGGCGUAAAGUGUUUGUAGGUUACUUUUUAAGUCUGUUGUAAAAUACUGGAGCUAUACUCCAUAUAAAUUAAAUUAGCAAAAGAAACUAAAAAGUUAGAGAGUACUUUUAAGGCAGAAGGAAUUUUUGAGGUAGCAGUGAAAUGCAUAGAUAUCAGAAGGAACACCAAUAGCGAAAGCAUUCUGCUAUAAAAAACACUAACACUAAGAGACGAAAGCUUCCGGUAUCAAAUAGGAUUAGAAACCCUAGUAGUCUAAGCCGUAAACAAUGGAUACUAAGCACUGUACUUUUUUUUUUAUUUAUAUUAUAUUAUAUUAUAUUAUAUUAUAUUAUAUGGAAUUUACCCUUAUGUAGCUGUAGCUAACGCAUUAAGUAUCCUGCCUGGGGAGUACGUUUGCAAAAAUGAAACUUAAAGGAAUUGACGGGGGCUCACACAAGCAAUGGAGCAUGUGGUUUAAUUCGAUGUAAACCGAGGAAUCUUACCAAGCUUGACAUACCUAUGAUAUAAAUAUAAUAUUUUAUUUUUUUUUUUCGGUUUUUUUACUAGGUACAGGUGGUGCAUGGCUGACAUAAGCUCGUGCCAUAAGGUAUAAAUUAUGAUUAAAUUCAUCAACGAGCAAAACAUCUAUUUUUAGAUACUUUAUUAUAAUUAUAAUAAUUAUAUUAUAUUAUAUUAUUAAAAUUAAUAAAUUUAUUAAUUAUUUAUAUUUAUACUAAAUAAACUUCCAAUUAAAAAAAGUGGGGAAGAUGGGUAUUACGCCAAGUCAUCAUGCCCCAAAAGUAUUGGGCGACACACAUGCUACACUGGAUGGUACAAAAAUAUAAAUUAUUAAAAAAAAUCAUUUAUAUUCUUUUUACAUAAUAUUUAUGUUUUUCGGAUUGUAGACUGCAAUUCGUCUACAUAAAGUUGGAAUUGCUAGUAAUCGUCUUUUAGUCUUAUGAUGGUGAAUUUUUGUUCUUGAGUCUUGUACAUACCGCCCGUCACACUAUAAGUAAUUAGAUCUUACAGAAAUAAUAAUAAAAAUUAAAAAUAUAUGUGUUUUUAUUAUUAUUUUUGUUUUUAGCUAGUAAUUAGAGUGAAGUCGUAACAAGGUAGGCAUACUGGAAGGUGUGGCUGGAUUAUCUCCUUU
RNAcentral lists this ribosomal RNA (1625 nucleotides) under Thismia rodwayi. Its description in RNAcentral is "16S ribosomal RNA". Lineage: Eukaryota; Viridiplantae; Streptophyta; Magnoliopsida; Dioscoreales; Thismiaceae. The record is from RNAcentral.